Molecule: ribosomal RNA, 499 nt
Filed under: uncultured Actinomycetes bacterium
Lineage: Bacteria; Bacillati; Actinomycetota; Actinomycetes
Description: bacterial SSU rRNA
Rfam family: Bacterial small subunit ribosomal RNA
Source: RNAcentral
UGGGGAAUCUUGCGCAAUGGGCGGAAGCCUGACGCAGCGACGCCGCGUGCGGGAAGAAGGCCUUCGGGUUGUAAACCGCUUUCAGGAGGGACGAAGCCACUCGGGUGAAUAGCCCAGAGGGUGACGGUACCUCCAGAAGAAGCCCCGGCUAACUACGUGCCAGCAGCCGCGGUAAUACGUAGGGGGCUAGCGUUGUCCGGAUUCAUUGGGCGUAAAGCGCGUGUAGGCGGCCAGGUAGGUCCGAUGUGAAAACUGGAGGCCCAACCUCCAGCUGUCAUUGGAAACCAUCUGGCUAGAGUCCGGAAGAGGAGAGUGGAAUUCCUGGUGUAGCGGUGAAAUGCGCAGAUAUCAGGAAGAACACCGAUGGCGAAGGCAGCUCUCUGGGACGGUACUGACGCUGAGACGCGAAAGCGGUGGGGAGCGAACAGGAUUAGAUACCCUGGUAGUCCACGCCGUAAACGAUGGGCGCUAGGUGUGGGCGGUGUCGACUCCGUCCGUG